RNAcentral lists this ribosomal RNA (1317 nucleotides) under uncultured Alphaproteobacteria bacterium. Its description in RNAcentral is "bacterial SSU rRNA". It matches the Rfam family "Bacterial small subunit ribosomal RNA", at positions 29 to 1393 of the family's 1533-position model. The record is from RNAcentral. Lineage: Bacteria; Pseudomonadati; Pseudomonadota; Alphaproteobacteria.
ACGUACGCUGGCGGCACGCCUAACACAUGCAAGUCGAACGAAGUAGCAAUACUUAGUGGCAGACGGGUGAGUAACAUGUAGGUAUCUGCCCUUUGGCCUGGAAUAACACGAGGAAACUUGUGCUAAUACCGGAUAAGUCUUUACGGAGAAAGCUUUAUGCACCAUUGGAUGAGCCUGCACUUGAUUAGUUUGUUGGUGGGGUAAUGGCCUACCAAGACUGUGAUCAAUAGCUGAUUUGAGAGGAUGAUCAGCCACAUUGGGACUGAGACACGGCCCAAACUCCUACGGGAGGCAGCAGUGGGGAAUCUUGCACAAUGGAGGAAACUCUGAUGCAGCGAUGCCGCGUGAGUGAAGAAGGCCCUUGGGUUGUAAAGCUCUUUCGUCGGGGAAGAAAAUGACUGUACCCGAAUAAGAAGGUCCGGCUAACUUCGUGCCAGCAGCCGCGGUAAUACGAAGGGACCUAGCGUAGUUCGGAAUUACUGGGCUUAAAGAGUUCGUAGGUGGUUGAAAUAGUUGGUGGUGAAAUCCCAGAGCUUAACUCUGGAACUGCCAUCAAAACUUUUCAGCUAGAGUAUGAUAGAGGAAAGCAGAAUUUCUAGUGUAGAGGUGAAAUUCGUAGAUAUUAGAAAGAAUACCAAUUGCGAAGGCAGCUUUCUGGAUCAUUACUGACACUGAGGAACGAAAGCAUGGGUAGCGAAGAGGAUUAGAUACCCUCGUAGUCCAUGCCGUAAACGAUGUGUGUUAGACGUUGGAAAUUUAUUUUCAGUGUCGCAGGGAAACCGAUAAACACACCGCCUGGGGAGUACGACCGCAAGGUUAAAACUCAAAUGAAUUGACGGGGACCCGCACAAGUAGUGGAGCAUGUGGUUUAAUUCGAAGAUACGCGCAGAACCUUACCAACACUUGACAUGUUCGUCGCGACUCUAAGAGAUUAGAGUUUUCGGUUCGGCCGGACGAAACACAGGUGCUGCAUGGCUGUCGUCAGCUCGUGUCGUGAGAUGUUGGGUUAAGUCCCGCAACGAGCGCAACCCUCACUUUUAGUUGCCAUCAUUAAGUUGGGCACUCUGAAAGAACUGCCAGUGAUAAGCUGGAGGAAGGUGGGGAUGACGUCAAGUCCUCAUGGCCCUUACGUGUUGGGCUACACACGUGCUACAAUGGUAUCUACAACAGGAAGCAAGACUGCGAAGUUAAGCAAAUCCCUAAAAGAUACCUCAGUUCGGAUUGCACUCUGCAACUCGAGUGCAUGAAGCUGGAAUUACUAGUAAUCGUGGAUCAGCGUGCCACGGUGAAUGCGUUCCCGGGUCUUGUACUCACCGC